UUGUGUGUCAUAAAUGUUUGUCAACUAAAACAUAAAUCAUCAACUCGCAUUUAAAUUUUGUAUUUUUAAACUCUUUGAAAAUACAGUAAAAACCAAGUUGAUGAAAAUAUCCCAGAACGCAAAUGCGAAAGGCGGGCUUUGUUUUUUAGAAAUAAUACUGGAGGCGAGCGACUGGGUGGAGGGGUGAUU
Molecule: long non-coding RNA, 189 nt
Organism: Drosophila virilis
Lineage: Eukaryota; Metazoa; Arthropoda; Insecta; Diptera; Drosophilidae
Source: RefSeq, a predicted model, not a curated record